GAUACCCCUGUAGUCCUGGCCGUAAACGAUGAACACUAGGUGUCGGGGGAAUCGACCCCCUCGGUGUCGUAGCCAACGCGUUAAGUGUUCCGCCUGGGGAGUACGCACGCAAGUGUGAAACUCAAAGGAAUUGACGGGGGCCCGCACAAGCGGUGGAGUAUGUGGUUUAAUUCGAUGCAACGCGAAGAACCUUACCAGGGUUUGACAUCCUGCGAAUCCCUUGGAAACUUGGGAGUGCCUUCGGGAGCGCAGUGACAGGUGGUGCAUGGCUGUCGUCAGCUCGUGUCGUGAGAUGUUGGGUUAAGUCCCGCAACGAGCGCAACCCACGUCUUUAGUUGCCAGCAUUUAGUUGGGCACUCUAGAGAGACUGCCGGUGAUAAACCGGAGGAAGGUGUGGAUGACGUCAAGUCAUCAUGCCCCUUACAUCCUGGGCUACACACGUACUACAAUGCUACGGACAAAGGGCAGCAAACUCGCGAGAGCUAGCAAAUCCCAUAAACCGUGGCUCAGUUCAGAUCGUAGGCUGCAACUCGCCUACGUGAAGGAGGAAUCGCUAGUAAUCGCAGGUCAGCAUACUGCGGUGAAUACGUUCCCGGGCCUUGUACACACCGCCCGUCACACCAUGGAAGUUGGCCACGCCCGAAGUCGUUACUCCAACCCUUGUGGAGGAGGAUGCCGAAGGUGGGGCUGAUGACUGGGGUGAAGUCGUAACAAGGUAGCCGUACCGGAAGGUGC
Molecule: ribosomal RNA, 735 nt
Filed under: uncultured Synechococcus sp.
Lineage: Bacteria; Bacillati; Cyanobacteriota; Cyanophyceae; Synechococcales; Synechococcaceae
Description: bacterial SSU rRNA
Rfam family: Bacterial small subunit ribosomal RNA
Source: RNAcentral